Molecule: ribosomal RNA, 251 nt
Filed under: uncultured prokaryote
Description: partial 16S rRNA
Rfam family: Bacterial small subunit ribosomal RNA
Source: RNAcentral
ACGUAGGGGGCAAGCGUUGUUCGGAAUUACUGGGCGUAAAGGGCAUGUAGGCGGUUUAGUAAGCUUGGCGUGAAAGACCACAGCUCAACUGUGGGGUUGCGUUGAGAACUGCUGAACUUGAGUUACGGAGAGGGAGCUAGAAUUCCUGGUGUAGGGGUGGAAUGCGUAGAGAUGAGGAGGAAUACCGAAGGCGAAGGCAGCCUUCUGGCUCAUAACUGACGCUGAGGUGCGAAAGUGUGGGGAUAAAUCAG